This 176-nucleotide long non-coding RNA is filed under the name Pan troglodytes (chimpanzee). RNAcentral describes it as "lincRNA". The record is from RNAcentral. Lineage: Eukaryota; Metazoa; Chordata; Mammalia; Primates; Hominidae.
AUUUUUAACUGAAUAUUUACGAAAGCUGAAAGCGUGCGAGGGGGGUGGGGUGGAAAUAGCGGCUGCUUCUUUUCCAGGGAUUUAUUUAAUGGGGAUGUGUUCAAGGCAAGACCGAAUUCAGAAGGAUAUCGACGUCGUGAUCCAGAAGUCCAGAGCUGAGGACUGCCUGUUUGCAG